Molecule: ribosomal RNA, 523 nt
Filed under: uncultured Alphaproteobacteria bacterium
Lineage: Bacteria; Pseudomonadati; Pseudomonadota; Alphaproteobacteria
Description: bacterial SSU rRNA
Rfam family: Bacterial small subunit ribosomal RNA
Source: RNAcentral
GUAAUAGCGCUCCGAUAGUCCGCAUUGAGAUUGGCUGCCGGGUAGUCACCCUUAUAGUUGCAUUCUGGACCACGGCGAAGUCGGGCGGCAAGUCCGACCCAUCCACUAAUAUCGAGGGGUUCGGCGUUACUUGAGGGUGAUCGACCCUCCAGAGGGGGUUAGACCUUAGGUUCGGAGUCUAAGUAAGAAUGGGUUCGCAAUACCGAUGGAAAUGGGGGAAUCCAAGAUUUCUUGCUCGAGGAGGAGCCGAUAUUGGAUUAGGUAGUUGGUGGGGUAAAGGCCUACCAAGGCAACGAUCAGUAGCUGGUCUGAGAGGCCGAUCAGCCACACUGGGACUGAGACACGGCCCAGACUCCUACGGGAGGCAGCAGUGGGUAAUAUUGGACAAUGGGGGAAAGCCUGAUCCAGCAAUGCCGGGUGAGUGAUCAAGGCCCUAGGGUUGUAAAGCUCUUUUACCCGGGAAGAUAAUGACUGUACCGGGAGAAUAAGCCCCGGCUAACUCCGUGCCAGCAGCCGCGGUAAU